GCAUCUGCCCUGACAUUCCCCGUUCCCAUGUCUUGCUCAGUCUCCCUUUUCUCGUGGUCAGCCACGAUGCCGGCACUGACGGUAUAAGGCUAUAUAUAAGAAGACACCCAGGGAGGUCGAGUGUAGAAGGAAAAAGAAGGAACGUGGCAACCACCAGCAGCCUCCUCUCUUGUUCCUUGACUCACGGAUGACCUCACCACCCUUCCCGGUCAGCCAGGUCCCAAGCUGGGCAUCAUCUGUGUGUUAGUUAGCUGCUGCUGUGGAACAGACCACCCCUGGGCUAACGGGCUGAAGACAGCAGGUGAUGGUCAUCUCCCAGGGCUCCGAGGGUUCCCUCCGAUAGGUAGUUCUAAUCCGUAGACUCUCAGAGGAUUGCAGCCAGAGGACCGCAGGGGCUGGAGUCCUCCCGAGGCCUGACCGGGCUGGACAUCCAAGGUCGCUUCCUGCACUCACAGGUCUGGUGCCUGCGUUGCAGUGGCUGGAAUAGCUGCGCAGCCAUGUCUCUCUCUCUCCGUGCCACCUCUGCACGUCUACCGUGCGCUUUCUCGCAGCAGAGUGGUCUUGGUUUCGAUUUUUCUCCUCACUGCUGGCUCCCCCCAGAAGGACAUGCUGAAGGACCAAGGCCGGGGCGGUAGGGGUGCGCGCGUGUGUGCGUGUGCGUGCGUGAGAUUUAUGGCUGCUUCUGAUCAAGCCCUAGCGGUCAGGAGGCGUGGCUUUGGUUGCGUUUUAUUGGCUGCAGGGCCAGUCCAGAGUGCGUGUGGGAGGGGCGAAGCCAGCGCUGGAUGCGGGGGGCGUGGCUUGAGGGGCAAGUUGCCGUCUUUGGAGCCUGCCCCGGGAGAGCCUGGUCCGGACUGGAGUCUUGCUCCUGGAGCCCGCUCCCAAGGCUGAGCUUGGGCGCAGGGACGAGGGAGGCAGCAGCGAAGGAAGGAAACUGAGCAGCUAGGACCUGUGGCCCCCACCUUUAGUACUUCAUAUUUACUUAUUUACUGUUUUAGACUUUUGCAAACAGUUAAAUGUAAAUGAAAAAUUCUGAGGCGCACUUGCCAAAAAAGAGACACAGAUGGUCGAUAAGCGAAUGGAAGUACACUGAGCAGCAUCGGUCACUGCGGAAAAGUGCAGGAUGAAGCCACGACGUGGGGUUACCGCUCGGCCCUUGGGAUGACCUAAGUAAGAACAGUGCAUGCGUUCUUGAACCUGGUAGUGUCAGGUGUUCUCAAGCAUGGGACCAACUGGAAUUCACACACAUUGCUGGCGAAAGAGCAAAAUGGUGCAAAUACUUUUGAAAACAGUUUGGUAGUUUCUCAUGAAGUCAAGACGAUGCCAUGAAUCCAGCAAUUUCACUCUCAACUGAAAUUACCCUCGAGAAAGGAAAAGGCACAUCCACACAAAGACCUGUACAUGAAUUUUCCCAGGGGCUUUACUCAUAAUUUUCCCAGAAGCCCAAAGCAAGGGGGAAAAACCCAAACUCAGGUGUCCAUCUAUGAGGGAUUGAAUAAACUAACUGUAGUACGUCUGUACGAUGGCUGUGAUGAGACAGAGUGAACUGUUGAUACACACAGCUUGAGGGAGGAAUCUCAGAAGUAUUAUGCUGAGUAAGAGAAAACAGCCAAAGAGGCUAAUGCUGUGUGAUUCCACUGUGAUUCUCUGGAAAUGCAAAACGGUAGUGACAGAAAGAUCAGUGGCUGCCAGUGGCUGAUGGGGGAGGAAAGGGGUUGAGUACAAAGGGGCACCAGGGAAUUUUGUUGGGGUGACAAAAUGUUAUGGGUUUUUUUUUGUUGUUUUUUUGUUUUGGCUGCGCCUUUGGAGUUCCCGUCGCGGCGCAGUGGUUAACGAAUCCGACUAGGAACCAUGAGGUUGCGGGUUCGGUCCCUGCCCUUGCUCAGUGGGUUAACGAUCCGGCGUUGCCGUGAGCUGUGGUGUAGGUCGCAGAUGUAGCUCGGAUCCCGCGUUGCUGUGGCUCUGGCGUAGGCCGGUGGCUACAGCUCCGAUUCAACCCCUAGCCUGGGAACCUCCAUAUGCCGCGGGAGCGGCCCAAGAAAUAGCAACAACAACAACAACAAAACAAC
RNAcentral lists this long non-coding RNA (2066 nucleotides) under Sus scrofa (pig). RNAcentral describes it as "lncRNA (ENSSSCG00050021763.1)". The record is from RNAcentral. Lineage: Eukaryota; Metazoa; Chordata; Mammalia; Artiodactyla; Suidae.